AGAGUUUGAUCAUGGCUCAGAUUGAACGCUGGCGGAAUGCUUUACACAUGCAAGUCGAACGGCAGCACGGGGCAACCUGGUGGCGAGUGGCGAACGGGUGAGUAAUACAUCGGAACGUGCCCAAUCGUGGGGAUAACGUAGCGAAAGUUACGCUAAUACCGCAUACGAUCUACGGAUGAAAGCGGGGAUCGCAAGACCUCGCGCGAAUGGAGCGGCCGAUGUCAGAUUAGGUAGUUGGUGGGGUAAAGGCUCACCAAGCCAACGAUCUGUAGCUGGUCUGAGAGGACGACCAGCCACACUGGAACUGAGACACGGUCCAGACUCCUACGGGAGGCAGCAGUGGGGAAUUUUGGACAAUGGGCGCAAGCCUGAUCCAGCCAUUCCGCGUGCAGGAUGAAGGCCUUCGGGUUGUAAACUGCUUUUGUACGGAACGAAACGGUCUGCCCUAAUACGGUGGGCUAAUGACGGUACCGUAAGAAUAAGCACCGGCUAACUACGUG
RNAcentral lists this ribosomal RNA (500 nucleotides) under uncultured bacterium. RNAcentral describes it as "bacterial SSU rRNA". It matches the Rfam family "Bacterial small subunit ribosomal RNA", at positions 8 to 507 of the family's 1533-position model. The record is from RNAcentral.